UAUGUCAUGGAAUGAAAACAACUUGUACGUCCUCACCAGUGUCUGAGGAUGAACAGAAUGGGAGACUGGAAUUGGAAAAUCAACACUGAUUGACACGUUAUUUAAUACUAAUUUUGAAGACCAAGAAUCUUCACAUUUUUGCCCACAUGUGAAACUUAAAGCUCAGACAUACGAAUUCCAAGAAAGUAAUGUUCGAUUAAAAUUGACCAUUGUAAAUACAGUAGGAUUUGGUGACCAAAUAAAUAAAGAAGAGAGCUACCAACCAAUAGUUGACUACAUAGAUGCCCAGUUUGAGGCCUAUCUUCAAGAAGAACUGAAGAUUAAGCGUUCUCUCUUCAUCUACCAUGACUCUUGCAUCCAUGUGUGCCUCUACUUCCUCUCACCCACAGGCCACUCUCUGAAGACACUUGAUCUCCUAACCAUGAAGAACCUUGACAGCAAGGUGAACAUUAUACUAGUGAUUGCCAAAGCAGAUACAGUUUCUAAAACUGAAUUACAGAAGUUUAAGAUCAAGCUCAUGAGUGAAUUGGUCAGCAAUGGCGUCCAGAUAUACCAGUUCCUGACAGACGAUGACACUGUUGCUAGGAUCAACUGUGCAAUGAAUGGACAAUUGCCAUUUGCUGUUGUAGGAAGUAUGGAUGAGGUGAAAGUCGGAAAUAAAAUGGUCGAAGCUCGCCAGUACCCCUGGGGUGUUGUACAAGUGGGAAACGAAAACCACUGUGACUUUGUAAAGCUGCGGGAGAUGCUCAUUUGCACAAACAUGGAGGACCUGCGCGAGCAGACCCAUGCCCGGCACUACGAGCUCUACAGAUGUUGCAAGCUGGAGGAAAUGGGCUUCUCGGAUGUGGGCUCAGAGAACAAGCCUGUCAGUCUUCAGGAGACCUACGAAGCCAAAAGACAUGAAUUCCAUGGUGAACGUCAGAGGAAGGAAGAAGAAAUAAAGCAGAUGUUUGUGCAGCGAGUGAAGGAGAAAGAAGCUAUAUUGAAAGAAGCUGAAAGAGAGCUGCAGGCCAAGUUUGAGCACCUGAAGAGAAUUCACCAAGAAGAGAGAAUAAAGCUCAAAGAGAAGAAAAAACUUUUGGAUGAAGAAAUAAUCGCCUUCUCUAAAAAGAAAGCUACCUGUGAGAUAUUCCAGAACCAGUCCUUUAUGGCAACUGGUAGCAACCUGAGGAAAGACAAGGACUGCAAGAACUCUAAUUACAUGUAAAACAGCAGUUCCAAAGCACAGAAGAUCAUCAUAAGCAAAAGUUAUUAAAACACCAGAAGUGUGCUUUGA
Molecule: non-coding RNA, 1276 nt
Organism: Microcebus murinus (gray mouse lemur)
Lineage: Eukaryota; Metazoa; Chordata; Mammalia; Primates; Cheirogaleidae
Source: RefSeq, a predicted model, not a curated record